ACAUCGAUAGCUCAGUGGCAUGGCAGAGCGGUGGGGCGUUAACCCACGCGGCCCGGGUUCGAUUCCCGGUCGAUGUA
Phthorimaea operculella (potato tuberworm) is the source of this 77-nucleotide non-coding RNA. Lineage: Eukaryota; Metazoa; Arthropoda; Insecta; Lepidoptera; Gelechiidae. The record is from the annotation of a GenBank genome assembly.